This 433-nucleotide ribosomal RNA is filed under the name uncultured bacterium. RNAcentral describes it as "partial 16S ribosomal RNA". It matches the Rfam family "Bacterial small subunit ribosomal RNA", at positions 29 to 507 of the family's 1533-position model. The record is from RNAcentral.
AACGAACGCUGGCGGCAUGCCUAACACAUGCAAGUCGAACGAGACCUUCCUGCCUAGUUGCGCACGGGUGCGUAACGCGUGGGAACCUGCCCUUAGGUUCCGUAUCACUCCCCGAAAGGGGUGCUAAUACCGCUUAAUCUCUUCGGACCAAAGAUGUAUCGACUUUGGGUGGGGCCGCGUUAGAUUAGCUAGUUGGUAGUGUAAAAGCCUAUCAAGGCGACGAUCCAUAGCUGGUCUGAGAGGAGGACCAGCCACACUGGAACUGAGACACGGCCCAGACUGCGACGGGAGGGAGGAGUAGGGAAUAUUAGAGGAGGAGGGAAAACCUAGUCAAGCAAUGCGGCGUAAGAGAGGAAGGCGUUAGGGUUGUAAAGCUCUCUUAGCCGAGGUGAUAAUGACAGUACCGGGAGAAGAAGCACCGGCUAACUACGUG